CAUGAAUAUCAGGUUAGACUGGGUAAGAAAACGUGAAACUGAUUGAAUCAGGAAGUUCAGACAACCUUCUUAUUCGCAGUAAGAUCUGAUCUGAACUACUGCAAAUUCAGUUACUCUAAGAAGAGGUUCAACGCAGACGAUUCUAACACUCCAAAAAAAGGCAAAGAGAAGAAAAAAGGAGGCGGAAGAAAAUGGCUAAAUUUUCAUCACAGCGACUAAAAGAAGUUCCCAGUGUUCUGUCUGAAGAUCAGUUCCUGUGUUCUAUCUGUCUGGAUCUGUUCACUGAUCCAGUCUCCACUCCAUGUGGACACAACUU
This 316-nucleotide long non-coding RNA is filed under the name Astyanax mexicanus (Mexican tetra). RNAcentral describes it as "lncRNA (ENSAMXG00005004673.1)". Lineage: Eukaryota; Metazoa; Chordata; Actinopteri; Characiformes; Acestrorhamphidae. The record is from RNAcentral.